This 474-nucleotide long non-coding RNA is filed under the name Nicotiana benthamiana. RNAcentral's name for it is "long non-coding RNA (NBEN_LNC007592)". Lineage: Eukaryota; Viridiplantae; Streptophyta; Magnoliopsida; Solanales; Solanaceae. The record is from RNAcentral.
AGAACGUGACAAAAAUUUGUUUCAAAAGGAAAUAAACUCAGAGUCGCCACCUGACAUUUGAUUUCGGGGAGAAGGUGUUAAGCACUCCCCAAGUCCCGUGAAGGUCACAGUUGCAUACUCGAUCAAGUUGGCUUUUAAGAUAUUCAAAUUGAGGUAAAAGCACACAAAAAGAAAAUAAACAGUCAAAAGAGGCUCGAGGGCACCAGAGAUUGGGGUAAGGGGCUCAUUUGACUCGCGGAGAAGGUGUUAAGCACUCCCCAAGUCCCGUGAAGGUCACAGUUGCAUACUCGAUCAAGUUGGCUUUUAAGAUAUUCAAAUUGAGGUAAAAGCACACAAAAGGAAUAUAAACAGUCAAAAGAGGCUCGAGGUCGUCCCCACCUAACAAAACGAAAAUAAAAUACUAUUCUAUGCUUCCUCGAACCGUUCCGUCUUCGGCUUUCAAAUAUAAAUACUUUGGGGCAAUACCCCAGAUAA